GACGAACGCUGGCGGCGUGCUUAACACAUGCAAGUCGAACGGCAAGGCCCUGCUUUUUUGGGGUUCUCGAUUGGCGAACGGGUGAGUAACACGUGAGUAACCUGCCCUUGACUUUGGGAUAACUUCAGGAAACUGGGGCUAAUACCGGAUAGGAUCUCCUGCUGCAUGGUGGGGGUUGGAAAGUUUCGGCGGUUGGGGAUGGACUCGCGGCUUAUGAGCUUGUUGGUGGGGUAGUGGCUUACCAAGGCUUUGACGGUUAGCCGGCCUGAGAGGGUGACCGGCCACAUUGGGACUGAGAGACGGAGCAGACUCGUACGGGAGGCAGCAGUGGGGAAUAUUGCACAAUGGGAGGAAGCCUGAGGCAGAAACGCCGCGUGCGGGAUGACGGCCUGCGGGUUGUAAACAGCUUUAGCCUGUGACGAAGCGGGAGUGACGGUAAUGGGUAAAGAAGCACCGGCUAACUACGUG
RNAcentral lists this ribosomal RNA (468 nucleotides) under uncultured bacterium. RNAcentral describes it as "partial 16S ribosomal RNA". It matches the Rfam family "Bacterial small subunit ribosomal RNA", at positions 28 to 507 of the family's 1533-position model. The record is from RNAcentral.